RNAcentral lists this unclassified non-coding RNA (338 nucleotides) under soil metagenome. RNAcentral's name for it is "partial contains 5.8S ribosomal RNA, internal transcribed spacer 2, and large subunit ribosomal RNA". The stretch from base 1 to 120 matches the Rfam family "5.8S ribosomal RNA", at positions 35 to 154 of the family's 154-position model. The record is from RNAcentral.
GAUGAAGAACGUAGCGAAAUGCGAUAAGUAGUGUGAAUUGCAGAAUUCAGUGAAUCAUCGAAUCUUUGAACGCACAUUGCGCCCCUUGGUAUUCCAUGGGGCAUGCCUGUUCGAGCGUCAUCUACACCCUCAAGCUCUGCUUGGUGUUGGGCGUCUGUCCCGCCCCCGCGCGUGGACUCGCCCCAAAUCCAUUGGUAGCGUUCCUUGCCCCCUCUCGCGCAGCACAUUGCGCUUCUCGAGGGCGGCUCCGGGACGCGAUCCAGCAAGAUGACCACCGUCUUUGACCUCGGAUCAGGUAGGGAUACCCGCUGAACUUAAGCAUAUCAAUAAGCGGAGGA